CCAUCCUCGCCAUUGCCAGUUUGCCAGUUUGAUAGAAACUUAGCAGCAAGGGCACUUCAGUACCUUCAUCUGGCUUCUCUGAGAAGAGGCAACUCACAACUGUGCCCCUUCGUCUGGCUUUUGCUAACAUCCCUUGCAGCUUCUCCAGGGCUCGCUCUGUGCUUGCACAGUGCUGACCGGAGCUGAAUCAACAUGUAUACAACUCCAGCCCAAGUUCCCUUCUCUUGAAUAAUCUAGGAAGAAAAGAUAAUACUCAGUCUCAAGUUUGUCCUCAAGAACUCUAGGGCCAUGAGGUUUUUGGGUCUUAAUUGAAGUGUUAGCACAGUGAAGCUCCACCUCAGCAGCAUCCAGCCUCUGUCGUGGUCAUCAUUGUCACCAUCAUCGUCACCAACAUCAUCAUCAGCACCAGCAGCAGGCGGGUAUGAAGCGCCUUACUCUUACGAAGCUACACAGGGAAAUGAGCAGUUCUUGCCUUGUUUGAACAUGGUUUGAACAUGGCUACUGGCUGAUCCUACCCCUAUAAUCGUCUCACUCUUGCCCUGUGCAAAUAACAUACUUCUACAGCCUGAAUUCACGGGGUGAUGCAAAGACCACUGGACUCCUGAAGUAGCAGAUUUGGGUGCUAGAUUUGGUUCUACAGCUUCCUGGUUCUGUAACCUUGGACACGUCCCUUGUCUUAUUUGACCUUCGGUUUCUGCAUCUGUCAAAAAAUCUGUCAAAAAGGAAAACAGACCCUGUGGAUUUGCUACUUACCAGCCCUGUGACUUUGGUCAAGCUACUUAACCUUCAACUCUAAGCCUCAGAGUCUUUAACUGUAAAAUGGGUUACUAACAGUAUGUACC
Equus quagga is the source of this 842-nucleotide long non-coding RNA. RefSeq lists it as uncharacterized. The record is from RefSeq and is a predicted model, not a curated record. The transcript has 3 exons. Lineage: Eukaryota; Metazoa; Chordata; Mammalia; Perissodactyla; Equidae.